Mycena vitilis is the source of this 85-nucleotide non-coding RNA. The record is from the annotation of a GenBank genome assembly. Lineage: Eukaryota; Fungi; Basidiomycota; Agaricomycetes; Agaricales; Mycenaceae.
CCUUCUCUAGCUCAGUUGGUAGAGCAUCAGACUGUAAUUGGUUACUGUUAUCUGGGUGUCAGCUGUUCGAUCCAGCUGAGAAGGA